GCCCGCAUAGCUCAGCUGGCAGAGCAGCUGAUUUGUAAUCAGCAGGUCACCCGUUCGAUCCGGGUUGCGGGCUCCA
Molecule: transfer RNA, 76 nt
Filed under: bacterium
Lineage: Bacteria
Also listed under: 5 other names
Description: tRNA-Thr
Rfam family: tRNA
About the family: Transfer RNA (tRNA) molecules are approximately 80 nucleotides in length. Their secondary structure includes four short double-helical elements and three loops (D, anti-codon, and T loops).
Source: RNAcentral